Molecule: ribosomal RNA, 493 nt
Filed under: uncultured bacterium
Lineage: Bacteria
Description: partial 16S ribosomal RNA
Rfam family: Bacterial small subunit ribosomal RNA
Source: RNAcentral
GAGUGAACGCUGGCGGUAGGCCUAACACAUGCAAGCCGAACGGCAGCACAGUAAGAGCUUGCUCUUACGGGUGGCGAGUGGCGGACGGGUGAGGAAUACAUCGGAAUCUACUUUUUCGUGGGGGAUAACGUAGGGAAACUUACGCUAAUACCGCAUACGACCUACGGGUGAAAGCAGGGGAUCUUCGGACCUUGCGCGAUUGAAUGAGCCGAUGUCGGAUUAGCUAGUUGGCGGGGUAAAGGCCCACCAAGGCGACGAUCCGUAGCUGGUCUGAGAGGAUGAUCAGCCACACUGGAACUGAGACACGGUCCAGACUCCUACGGGAGGCAGCAGUGGGGAAUAUUAGACAAUGGGCGCAAGCCUGAUCCAGCCAUACCGCGUGGGUGAAGAAGGCCUUCGGGUUGUAAAGCCCUUUUGUUGGGAAAGAAAAGCAGCAGGUUAAUACCCCGCUGUUCUGACGGUACCCAAAGAAUAAGCACCGGCUAACUUCGUG